AGAGUUUGAUCAUGGCUCAGAUUGAACGCUGGCGGAAUGCUUUACACAUGCAAGUCGAGCGGCAGCACGGGGGCAACCCUGGUGGCGAGCGGCGAACGGGUGAGUAAUACAUCGGAACAUGCCCAGUCGUGGGGGAUAACACUUCGAAAGAAGUGCUAAUACCGCAUACGUCCUGAGGGAGAAAGCGGGGGAUCGCAAGACCUCGCGCGACUGGAGUGGCCGAUGUCAGAUUAGCUAGUUGGUGGGGUAAAGGCCUACCAAGGCAACGAUCUGUAGCUGGUCUGAGAGGAUGAUCAGCCACACUGGGACUGAGACACGGCCCAGACUCCUACGGGAGGCAGCAGUGGGGAAUUUUGGACAAUGGGGGCAACCCUGAUCCAGCCAUUCCGCGUGAGUGAAGAAGGCCUUCGGGUUGUAAAGCUCUUUCGGCAGGAACGAAACGGUGAGCUCUAACAUAGCUUGCUAAUGACGGUACCUGAAGAAGAAGCACCGGCUAACUACGUGCCAGCAGCCGCGGUAAUACGUAGGGUGCGAGCGUUAAUCGGAAUUACUGGGCGUAAAGCGUGCGCAGGCGGUUGUGUAAGACAGGUGUGAAAUCCCCGGGCUUAACCUGGGAACUGCGCUUGUGACUGCACAGCUAGAGUAUGGCAGAGGGGGGUGGAAUUCCACGUGUAGCAGUGAAAUGCGUAGAGAUGUGGAGGAACACCGAUGGCGAAGGCAGCCCCCUGGGCCAAUACUGACGCUCAUGCA
This 750-nucleotide ribosomal RNA is filed under the name uncultured bacterium. Its description in RNAcentral is "bacterial SSU rRNA". It matches the Rfam family "Bacterial small subunit ribosomal RNA", at positions 8 to 753 of the family's 1533-position model. The record is from RNAcentral.